RNAcentral lists this long non-coding RNA (2011 nucleotides) under Homo sapiens (human). RNAcentral describes it as "non-protein coding lnc-BOD1L1-8:2". Lineage: Eukaryota; Metazoa; Chordata; Mammalia; Primates; Hominidae. The record is from RNAcentral.
CUUCUUUGAACAUGUCUGGUAGAAUUCAGCUGUGAUCCAUCCAGUCCUGGGCUUCUUUUGGUUGACUAUGGAAAUGAUGUUAGACAAAAAGCAAAUUCAACUUCAAAGUGGGUCUUAAAACAGCCAAGACAACUUGCAACAUCAACAACGCAUUUGUUCCACUGAGAAUGAACGUACAGUGCAGUGGUGGUUCAAGAAGUUUUGCAAGGGAGACAAGAGCCUUGAAGACAAGCAGCAUAGUGGCUGGCCAUGAGAAGUUGACGAUGACCAACUGAGAACAAUCAUCAAAGCUGAUCCCCUUAAAACUACACAAGAAGUUGCCAAAGAACUCAUCAUUGGCCAUUUGAAGCAAAUUGGAAAGGUGAAAAAUCACAAUAAGUGGGUGCCUAAUGAGCUGAGUGAAAAUUUUAAAAAAUCAUCAUUUUGAGUGUCAUCUUCUCUUAUUCUAUCCAACAACAAUGACCCAUUUCUCCGUUGGAUGAUGACAUGCGAUGAAAAAUGGAUUUUAUAUGACAAGCGGCAAUGACCAGCUCAGUGGCUGGAUCAAGAAGAAGUUUCAAAGCACUUCCCAAAGCCAAACUUGCACCAAGAAAAGGUCAUGAUCACUGUUUGGGGGUCUUCUGCCAGUCUGAUCCACUACAGCUUUCUGUAGUGGAUCAGGAGGCUGAAGGAGGAGAAUCACUUGAACCCAGGAGGUGGAGGUUGCAGUGAGCUGAGAUCGCACCAUUGGACUCCAUCCUUGGCAAAAAGAGCGAAACACCAUUAAAAAAAAAAUAGGAUGUAUUAUUCUUAUUAUUCUCCUAGUACCUUCUCUCCUUUGCUCAUCUUAAUUUCCUACUCCCUAUGCCAAACAAUGUUACCAACGGCAACAUAUUAGGUGAGUGCAAAAGUAAUAACUGUUUUUGCAUUCGUGGAAUCGUCAUUUGAUAUUGAAAUACAUUUUUGUAUUUCAUUGCCAGUUGUCAUCUAAAAUCCAUUUUUCAUCGCACAUCAUCAUCCAAUGGAGAAAUGGGUCGUUGUUGUUGGAUAGAAUAAGAGAAGAUGACACUCAAAAUGAUGGUUUCCCGGUGAAACCAUUACAUCUGAGAAGUAUGCUCAGAAAAUCGAUGAGAUGCAUCAAAAAUUGCAAUGCCUGCAGCCAGCGUUGGUCAACAAAAAGGGCCUAAUUCUCCACAUCAAUGCCCGACCACAUGUCGUAUAACCAAUGUUUCAAAAGUUGAAUGAAUUGGGCUAUGAAGUUUUGCCUCAUCCACCACAUUCACCUGACCUCUUGCCAAUCAACUACCACUUCUUCAAGCAUCUUGACAACUUUUUGCAGGGAAAGCACUUCCAUGACUAGCAGGAUCCAGAAAAUGCUUUCCAGGAGUUCAUCGAAUCCCAAAGCAUAAACUUUUAUACUACAGGAAUAAACAAACUUAUUUCUCGUUGGCAAACAUGUGUUGAUUGCAGUGGUUCCUAUUUUGAUUAACAAAGAUAUGUUUGAGCCUAGUUAUAAUGAUUUAAAAUUCAUAGUCCAAAACUGCAAUUACUUCUGUGCCAACAUAAUAAUAGCCAAAGCCAGAUUUAAGCCUCUUUCCUGAAACCCAGCCAAGAACUAGCCUCAUCACUUUGUAUUUUCUAGCUAGUGUCUCGAGGCUUCACAUUCAGAUGAUCCAGUGUGUGAAGUGGCAGGGUGCCAUUUUAAGCGAGAAUCUUCUUAUUCUGCCAGUGCCAUAAAAUUGCCUAUGAGAAACUGGGAAUGGAUACCCAACCUCAUCAACUAUGCAUUAAAGGAAUAAAGACAAUGAUGCAAGUUUAGAUGCCACCUCCACAAGUUUGCUCCUGAGGCUUUCCUAGGGUUACGCAAUUCUGGAUUGUGCCUACUUACCCACUGAAGAAAACCUUCAGGCAAGGAAGAAGAAAAAACUGGAUGCUUGGGGUGGGAAGCUGAGACCAUGCUGGAAACUGCCUUGAUGCAUAAACUAAGGUCAUUUGUUGAGGAAAAAGAGUUGUCUGACUUGUAGAAUUCCUC